This 465-nucleotide ribosomal RNA is filed under the name uncultured bacterium. RNAcentral describes it as "partial 16S ribosomal RNA". It matches the Rfam family "Bacterial small subunit ribosomal RNA", at positions 28 to 507 of the family's 1533-position model. The record is from RNAcentral.
GACGAACGCUGGCGGCGUGCUUAACACAUGCAAGUCGAACGGAAAGGCCCUGCUUGCCGGGUACUCGAGUGGCGAACGGGUGAGUAACACGUGGGUGAUCUGCCCUGCACUUCGGGAUAAGCUUGGGAAACUGGGUCUAAUACCGGAUAGGAACCAUCUUUAGUGUGGUGGUUGGAAAGUUUUUUCGGUGUAGGAUGAGCUCGCGGCCUAUCAGCUUGUUGGUGGGGUAAUGGCCUACCAAGGCGGCGACGGGUAGCCGGCCUGAGAGGGUGUACGGCCACAUUGGGACUGAGAUACGGCCCAGACUCCUACGGGAGGCAGCAGUGGGGAAUAUUGCACAAUGGGCGCAAGCCUGAUGCAGCGACGCCGCGGGGGGGAUGAAGGCCUUCGGGUUGUAAACUCCUUUCGCUAGGGACGAAGCUUUUUGUGACGGUACCUAGAGAAGAAGCACCGGCUAACUACGUG